UUACGAGGUCAGGACACUGUGAGGAUUGACAGAUUGAAAGCCCUUUCUUGAUUCAGUGGGUGGUGGUGCAUGGCCGUUCUUAGUUGGUGGAGUGAUUUGUCUGGUUAAUUCCGUUAACGAACGAGACCUUAACCUGCUAAAUAGUCACGCGAACCGGUCCGCAAGGGCUCAAAGUUCGCGGCUCGACUUCUUAGAGGGACUAUUCGCACCCGCCAGCGAAUGGAAGUUUGAGGCAAUAACAGGUCUGUGAUGCCCUUAGAUGUUCUCGGCCGCACGCGCGUUACACUGACGGAGUCAACGAGCGUUUUUCCUUGCCCGAUAGGGUUGGGUAACCUCCUGAAACUCCGUCGUGGUGGGGAUAGAUCAUUGCAAUUAUUGAUCUUGAACGAGGAAUUCCUAGUAGGCGCGAGUCAUCAACUCGCGCCGAUAACGUCCCUGCCCUUUGUACACACCGCCCGUCGCUCCUACCGAUUGAACGGUCCGGCGAGAACUCCGGAUGGUC
Molecule: ribosomal RNA, 502 nt
Filed under: Vermamoeba vermiformis
Lineage: Eukaryota; Tubulinea; Echinamoebida; Vermamoebidae
Description: SSU rRNA
Rfam family: Eukaryotic small subunit ribosomal RNA
Source: RNAcentral